ACCCAUAGUCCGCUGCACAGAUGCUAUUGGAUUGAACCGCUGCCUACAACAGCAGCGCAAAGGAACUCCGUUCAAGACGCACGCCGUGCGUAAAACAAGGAAGAGAUUCUACAGCAGAUUGAAAACAGUCAUGCUGCUUACUUGAAAACAGAUGCAGAUCAACUCUCAGGGAGCCUCCAGUUACAAUCUGUAUCUUACACACGGGAAACCUGAGGACUGUUUUGAGCAUCUCUUUACCUGAAGGCUCUGAGGGGUCUAAGCCAGUACCUGGUGAAACUUCAUCUCUGCUGGUUUAAUAUUUAAACACUGUUGAGAGUUUGGUUCCCCUUAGAGAUCUGGAUGAACACAUACCAUCACCCAAACUGCACCCAAUCUCUCUGGAAGGAUCAGCUCUGCUACCACUGCAGAUCCGGUUGCACAUGCUAGCCUACAAAGACCAAGCACCGCUCCAAUUGUGAAAGCUGACACAGAGUUUUACACACGAUGUAUGUGAACUCUUCUGGAGCAGAGACUGGAUACUCACUGACCUUCCUGGGGAAGAAAGUUGGGAGGCAUCACUCCGUUGCUCCUGCAGGAAAACAACGCGCCUGGGAACCGACCAACAGAUCUACCUGUCCUGAGGACCCCACAGUGUCCUUGAGGCCUGGACGGGUCCCGGUAGUAGCUCUGGUUCCUGAAGAUUUACCGGGCAGUGUACCGGAGCUGGAGGAUGAGAGGCCAUGUCCCAUAAUUCACAACACACAGUUUGACCAGUACGAGGACAGAACAGGUGUAUCUGGGAGGAAGGUAACAGCAUGACGACACGCCUACAUUCCUGUAGGUGGAAACAAAGAGGGAAGAGGGUGGGAUGUGGAAGAAGCAUUCAGAGGGGGAAAGCAUUUUAAGAAUGUGUCAAUAUUGUAGAUGAAUCUGAUGGAUUACCUUCAAAAUAAGAAUAAACCAGGAUUUAAAACCACCAUAAAUCAAGCAGUGUAAAUAGAGAAUAAACUGUAUUCUAAACACACUUCAUAAAUAUGUGAACCGUGUUUUAAAUAUAACAAAUAAAGUCUAAAUGAUGCACAAAGA
Long non-coding RNA from Notolabrus celidotus (New Zealand spotty), 1065 nucleotides. RefSeq lists it as uncharacterized. NCBI's taxonomy places the organism in Eukaryota, Metazoa, Chordata, Actinopteri, Labriformes, Labridae. The record is from RefSeq and is a predicted model, not a curated record. The transcript has 5 exons.